This 458-nucleotide ribosomal RNA is filed under the name uncultured soil bacterium. RNAcentral's name for it is "bacterial SSU rRNA". It matches the Rfam family "Bacterial small subunit ribosomal RNA", at positions 26 to 522 of the family's 1533-position model. The record is from RNAcentral.
AGAACGAACGCUGGCGGCAUGCCUAAUACAUGCAAGUCGAACGAAUGCCCUUCGGGGUGUUAGUGGCGCACGGGUGCGUAACGCGUGGGAAUCUGCCCUUGGGUUCGGAAUAACAGUUAGAAGUGACUGCUAAUACCGGAUGAUGACGUAAGUCCAAAGAUUUAUCGCCCAGGGAUGAGCCCGCGUAGGAUUAGCUAGUUGGUGGGGUAAAGGCCUACCAAGGCGACGAUCCUUAGCUGGUCUGAGAGGAUGAUCAGCCACACUGGACUGAGACACGGCCCAGACCUCCUACGGGAGGCAGCAGUAGGGAAUAUUGGACAAGUGGGCGAAAGCCUGAUCCAGCAAUGCCGCGUGAGUGAUGAAGGCCGUUAGGUUGUAAAGCUCUUUACCCGAGAUGAUAAUGACAGUAUCGGAGAAGUAAGCUACCGGUACUAACGUCCGUCGCCAGCACGGCCGAC